Molecule: non-coding RNA, 1494 nt
Organism: Lonchura striata (white-rumped munia)
Lineage: Eukaryota; Metazoa; Chordata; Aves; Passeriformes; Estrildidae
Source: RefSeq, a predicted model, not a curated record
GAAGGGCGCUGCCCCUGCUUCGGGCUGAGCGGGGCUGCGGGUUUGGGCAGAGCUGGAGGGAGGAGCGGGUGUUGGAAGCAGCAGCGGAGCUGGCAGGACCCCGAUGCGGAGGGGCACAAGCAGCCCUGCCAUGGCAGAGGGGGCGGAAGGCUUCGAGCCCUGCGAUGCGGUCACGGCGGGUUUAUCUUUCUCACGAAGGCGCGGCACGGGACGCUGUCGGGCUUGUGCGCGGCCCGGGAUCGGGAUCGGGAUGAGGAGGAGGGCGUGGGCCGGGCACAGCCUGGUUUCGGCCCGGCUGGUUCCUGCCCAGCCUGUCGCCCCUGCCAGCCGGCCGGGCACGCAGUGUCCCCGGGGACUCGGCACGGGGGAGUCCCGCUCCAGUGCUGCCUCCGGCGCUGCGCCCCUCCGACAAGAAACUGAGGCGUGGAGAAGGGCAGCGAAGCUGGGGAAGGGUCUGGGGUUCUGUGAGGAGUAGCUGAGGGAGCUGGGGCUGGAAGAGAGGCCCAGGGGUCCUUUUCCCUCUCUACCACUCCCUGACAGGAGGGCACAGCCAGAUGGGGGUCGGGCUCUUCCCGCAGGCAGCAGCGACAGGACAAGAGGACAGAGGCUCAAGGUGUGGACAUCAGGAAGGAUUUCUUCACUGAAAGCGUAGUCAGACUGCAUCCCUCUUUCCUGCAACCUGAAACAAAAAUCUUGAUGCUGAAUUCAGCUGAGGUCCUUCCAAACCUGGAGAAAGUAAAAGCUUCGUUUCACAUCCAUGGAGAUGAAACGAUGUUUGUUUGCUUUCUGACUGGGCUUAGGAUCUCCCGAGUCCCUCGACAGGGCAGGUUUAACACGUAUGACUUUAGGCAUCAAUUACACAGUGUAAUUGUUUGUUUUUACGCUUCCAUUGCCAUGAACACCAACCUUAAUUUGUUUUUGACCCACUUCAACACCCAGAGCCCUAUUUGCAGAGCUAUUAAAGCAUUGGCAAUUCAGAGAUACACAUUUGUACAGAUGGUUAUUCCUCCUUAAGUGCUUUUGCCUUAACUGAAUUACCUACCGUUUAUUUUCUGUAAUUUCCUCAGUUUGCCAACAUCACUUUAGUUUUUCUGAAGUGUUUGCAGCUCAUCCUGCUCUGGCAAAAUGUGUGCUGGCCUUGGAGACAUUACUGAAAAUAUUUAGCUCCAUGAAGAACUGUGCUUCAAACCUUCUUCCACCAGCACAAGGAAGCCAGCUAUAGCUACUCUGAAGUGUGCCUUCUCAACUAUGUACAAACCAGAGGCCUCCAACCCUCACAUUCCCUGGCUGUCGAUGAAAAAUAGUUAGAGAGGCAAAGACUUUCUGAAAAUAAUGACAAACACAGGAGCCUUGUCUCGAGUGCUUCUCACCCAUCCACCGAGGCAGUCCCUCCUGGCAGAGUGAAAAUGUGAUUGAUUUGCUGUGAUUUCUGCUUAGGGUAUUUGCUAAUGUGGAUUUAUGGCCUUUUAAUGAUACAGCCACUUGCAAGUUAGA